CGGAACACGUACGCAACCUUCCUUUAACUGGAGAAUAGCCCCUCGAAAGAGGGAUUAAUACUCCGUAACAUGUACAUGUGGCAUCACAAGUACAUUAUAGCUCCGGCGGUUAAAGAUGGGCGUGCGCCUGAUUAGAUAGUUGGCGGGGUAACGGCCCACCAAGUCUGCGAUCAGUAACUGGUGUGAGAGCACGACCAGUCACACGGGCACUGAGACACGGGCCCG
Molecule: ribosomal RNA, 225 nt
Filed under: uncultured bacterium
Lineage: Bacteria
Description: partial 16S ribosomal RNA
Rfam family: Bacterial small subunit ribosomal RNA
Source: RNAcentral